GGGGGGGGGGGAUAUUGCUGAAGGAGGCCGCGUGGACUUUAUUCCCAGAGACGAGUCUGAGCGCUGGAGGAUGAUAUUGCCGAUGAUAUUCGCCUCAGACGUUCCAGCUCAUUCUGAGGGGUUUCUUUGUGAGACAGUCGCGGGCUUAGCGAGCUUCAGAGCAGGAGGGGGAUUAGCUUAGCUUAACUUAGCUUAGCAUCAAAGCUGCGGAGAUGCACGUCUGCAUUCUUCUAGACUUUGGAGUUAGGACCCCCACCUCCCCCCAUGUCUCCAGUCUAAGAUAAUCUCAUUCUGGCACACGGGAGAGCGGUGUAAAUCAUUUCAUCCAACUAAACGAGCAUUAUUGACGAGCUAUUCCCUCUCCGCUGAUCAACUUUAGGUUCGUGCAAAUCCGCCUGCACAACUUGGACUUCCCGUCCAGUAAACAUUCACAUUCGCGAGAGAACUGCUCACACAUCCGUUGAGCACUGAGCCUCUGGCUGCUGCGGUAAUGCUGGAUUACACGAAUGACUCCCGGCCUCACUAAUCUGACAACGUAUAACGCGUUUUCCCUCUUGAGGUGUUGUGUCUCCCUCUUUAUCUGCUCAGAACAGCGUGCGCCCCGGGGGGGGAGGGAGGAUGGGUCGGCGCUCCUGUGCGACUCCGCUCUGAGUCAGACCCGGAGACCCGCCCACUUUGUGGAAAGUGGUUUUGCCUCGUCGUCUGUGGAAAAAAAAAAAAAAACAGAAUAUGAGACUCGUCAGCAGUUUGUUUGCCCGCUGUCACGCGGCCGCGCUCACUUAGCGGGUUUCUGCCUCUGCGGGUUGCUUUUGUGGUUCUUCUUACUGUCUCAUUGAAGGCAUCACUUCUGGUUGCAUCUCUGGAAAAGUGGAGCUGGAUCCUCUCCCAUGGAAGCGUUUCUAUUUCAUACCUAAAGCGAAGGAGGACGUCCGAGCAAAGCAGCCCUCCAUUUUGGUCCAACGUGACCUCAUUGUUCUCCAUGUGUUACACAUACAUCAACAAAAAGCCCGUCUGAGCCUGCGACCAAACGUGUCCGUGACCUCUUUGGGGGUCCGGGUCCGAUCGGCUGCUUCUCUGCCGUCGGAUUCUGCGCGUUGGACCGAAGGAGAAGGAGCCGCUCCUAGAAAAACAGUGACUUCAGUCCUCUGUCAGAUCGGCCCACAAGAACCAACGUAAAAGCAGCACAGCACAAAGGUUACAGAGCUAGCAUAGUUAUUUAGAAAAUGAGACGUAAUGUGGCAGUAAUUCAAACUGUUUCAUUUUUUUCCCCCCAAAAGGUUUUCAACAAACUCAUGCAGGCAAUGAUUUAGGAACCACUUCCCUCUUAGUUUAUUUUACUUUUGUUUUCACAGACUAAAGCAAAGGAAACCAAGUUUUAGAUUAAAGCAAUAUUUAGAAAAAAUAAAUCAUUUUUUGAAUUGUUAUUAUAUUUUAAAAUACUGGUCCGCGACAGUCCUGUCGCUCUGGAAAAGUCCCACGUUGGAUUUGUUAUCGAAAAAAACACCUGAUUAAGUGCAGAUUUUGAGCAUCUGGAGUUUUCUCUCUCUGGGAGAACGAACCUCCUACACAUUGCUUACGUUUACGAUCCUUUUUCAUAAUUGCAACAGCAACGUGACGCAGCAGAUGCAUGCUGGGAGCUCCGCUCGUCGGCCGUUUGGUCCCUGGAUCCUCGGCGGCUUGAUGACUCGUCGUCGCCCUUAGCGCCCCGAUAUCGUUCCGCCUGUUUCCUCCCACACAGAACAUGGGUUGUCGGCCUCGGCCCGCCGGCCCGCCCGUGUUGAUGAAGCGCAGACGUCUUCCGGAGAUAGCAGCUCCCUGAAUGUGCUCUUUGUGGAGGGCGAGGAGUCCACCGAGGAGUCUGCUGGACAGGACCGAGACCGUGAAGAGCUCUAACACGAGGACCUGUUAAAUCCAGAGUGCUGCCGGAGGCGCCUUUGCGACGCGACGACGAGCUCCAAACGCGAAGCCAGCUGCCGGUCACGGAGAAUGCCACUGCGGGCAGUGUAAAUGCCACGCCGGCUACGUCGGCGACAACUGCAACUGCUCCACCGAGACGGCGCCGUGCGUCGCGGACGACGGGCAGAUG
Long non-coding RNA from Gasterosteus aculeatus aculeatus (three-spined stickleback), 2086 nucleotides. The record is from Ensembl. Lineage: Eukaryota; Metazoa; Chordata; Actinopteri; Perciformes; Gasterosteidae.